GAGUUUGAUCUUGGCUCAGAUUGAACGCUGGCGGCAGGCCUAACACAUGCAAGUCGAGCGGAUGACGGGAGCUUGCUCCUUGAUUCAGCGGCGGACGGGUGAGUAAUGCCUAGGAAUCUGCCUGGUAGUGGGGGACAACGUUUCGAAAGGAACGCUAAUACCGCAUACGUCCUACGGGAGAAAGCAGGGGACCUUCGGGCCUUGCGCUAUCAGAUGAGCCUAGGUCGGAUUAGCUAGUUGGUGGGGUAAUGGCUCACCAAGGCGACGAUCCGUAACUGGUCUGAGAGGAUGAUCAGUCACACUGGAACUGAGACACGGUCCAGACUCCUACGGGAGCAGCAGUGGGGAAUAUUGGACAAUGGGCGAAAGCCUGAUCCAGCCAUGCCGCGUGUGUGAAGAAGGUCUUCGGAUUGUAAAGCACUUUAAGUUGGAGGAAGGCGGUAAGUUAAUACCUUGCUGUUUUGACGUUACCGACAGAAUAAGCACCGGCUAAACUCUGUGCCAGC
RNAcentral lists this ribosomal RNA (506 nucleotides) under bacterium enrichment culture clone ALO1_GLFRUDD03HJ0TB. RNAcentral's name for it is "bacterial SSU rRNA". It matches the Rfam family "Bacterial small subunit ribosomal RNA", at positions 9 to 512 of the family's 1533-position model. The record is from RNAcentral.